RNAcentral lists this long non-coding RNA (4402 nucleotides) under Volvox carteri. Its description in RNAcentral is "long non-coding RNA (VCAR_LNC000996)". Lineage: Eukaryota; Viridiplantae; Chlorophyta; Chlorophyceae; Chlamydomonadales; Volvocaceae. The record is from RNAcentral.
UGAUACGCAUCCUCCUCCGGAAUGACAAGGUGGCGAUUCCGCAGCGCCUCUAUAACAGCCAUCCUAGCCUCUUCAGUCACAUGAGUUGGGGAGGAACAAAUCUCUCCCCAAAAAUCCGCAACCAUCUGUGGCAACUUCAUCGUGUCUGUAAUAAGACGACCCGUUCUAUCUUGCAACGCCGGAAUAACUUGCAGAGUCUUAGACGGAUGCACCAGGGCAGUUAGCCCUCUACUAGGCCGUUCACCCUCACGAAUCCACUGUAACCGAACCCGUUCCGCCUCCUGUGCACCUUCAGCUCUAGCCGCUUGUACAACCGCUACUUGGGCGUCAAUUGCCGCUUGGAUUCUCUGUGCACUCAUAUGUUCGGUCUGCACAUCUUCCAGUGCCCUUGUUGCAUGUUCUAUUGCCAAACGUAGUUGCCCCCCCGGGGGAAAACGACGUUCUCGCGCUUGCCGAUUAAGAACAUUUACUUCAUUGAACAUUCGAUGUUUAAACAACGGCCACCAUUGUAGCAUAGCUACUGUGUCUGUCUCAGCGGGUCUCUGCGCACACUCAUCACCAAUCCAUUGCAAGAAGCUUCNCNNNNNNNNNNNNNNNNNNNNNNNNNNNNNNNNNNNNNNNNNNNNNNNNNNCCUGAUGUCGGUAGUCCCGGUUGAUUGGUGGUUGUGUAUGAGAGCUGCUGCUGUUGUCGCUGCUGCUGCUGUGGCGGCUGUUGCUGUAUCUGUUGCUGUUGCUGUUGUGGUUGCUGGUUCUGUCGUUGUUGUUGCUGUUGCUGUUGUUGCUGCUGUGUUUGCUGUUGCUGUGUCUGUUGUUGCUGUUGCUGUUGUUGCUGUUGCUGCUGUUGUUGUACUUGUCUUCGUACAACGGCGGCGGCUGCUCUGCCUGCCAUUUCUGUUGCCUCCUCGUUGGAUACUCGAUUUUGCAUCUGCUGUUGUCGAGUUAUUUGCUGGAUUGUCUGGGGCUGUCCAGUAGCCAUGGGUUGACGUGCAUUACUUGAUCCUCCUACCUCACCCACCGCUGGCGUCGCUAGAUUUGGCCGUGCUCGCGCCGCGAUGACUGCCGCCGCCGAAAUGGGCGGCGGGAGAUUCGGUAUCAAGCGGUUUCGUUGUUGAAUCUUGGGGGGGCGGGCAAAGCCGGAGUCUGUGUGUCGUAAUACGUGUGUUGCGCUCUCCACGCUCCCCUAUGAAUCCGCCGGCCAUCCUCCUCAAUGGAGAAAAUAUUCAUCCUGGCGGGUAAUGCGGGCUGAUCCCAUCGCACCCACACCACGGCUGUAGUGAGACUAGCUUCGACUAUCCCCCAUUUCUUUCCAUAUUCAUCUACGUCAAAGCCGUAGGCUUCCGCAAUAAGCCAGAAUAGGCAUUUCUGAGGAAAUGCUGGAGGUAAUCCUGUCAGUCUGAAGUAUUGGGCAGAUGCCCCCACUAUGUCUACUACAAGAUCCUAGAUGGAGAUCUGCUAGAUUGAUUCGUCCGCAAUGGUCCGCUAAGUUUUUUACGGGCGUAAUCCACUCCUCCGGUACGUAGACGUUGAUCUGUCCAACGACUCCUUCGUCGUUGCGAGCUUCCCAAGCGACCGGUUCUCCGACGAAAACAUAAGGAGCUUUUAGCUCCUGUUGUACUGUCUGCACUAUUCGGUGUCCAAUCGGUCCUGCCAUAAUGUCUAUUACCUGCUUUCUGUUCUCUAGGUAGUUUCCUUGAAAGAUUGCUCUCAUUGCCAGCGAUCGAAGUUUGCCAAAAGGUUGCUCCAUCUUCGUAAUUUCCCUAAGAAGGGAGAUUGAUAUGGUUGCUUCAGAUCGUUCCGCCGUCACACCGGCGGCCUGAUCCGUUGAACUGUUGCGAGCCAUUUUGAUGUCUUUUGUCUCAGAAAAGUUAUUGAAGGUAAAUAGACCGACCGGGUUACCCGNGUCGGUCUUGGUAUGAUGUUGAGUCUGCAAGUGUGGAUUGGGGCUAUAUGGUGGCUAAAUUGGUAUAUUGCUAUAUUGCUAUAGGAGUGUAGUAAGGUGAUGCAGUGUGUGCUGCCGUGGGUAUCGGAGCUGAACGUGCAGCACUUUGCACCGAAGGUAUGGCCACUUGGGAUACAGCACCCUGAGACGUUGCUGCGUCAUAAUAUGGUAGCUGGAUUUGAUGUUGACCGACACAGCAUACAAUCAGCCAGCGCGUGUGUGUGUGAGACUUGUCUUUGCUAAGCAUACACGUGGUCCUUUUCCGUUAUCUGGGCAUAAGGCAGCGCAGACUCUCGCGCUCAUUCACAUGGAUGUGUGUGGGCCUAUGCCUGAACCUUCGCCUAGUGGUUCGCGUUACGUGACAACCCUGCUUGACGACCAUACUGGUCUUUCAGCUGUUGCGUUUACAGCGACCAAGGAGGAGGUCUACCAGAAGAUGGUGGUAAUGAUAGCGGAACUGGAGCGCGCUACUGGCAGGCAGGUUAAGGAGGUGCGUACAGAUCGUGGCGGGGAGUUCGUUAAUACUCGCACGAAGGCCUAUUUCGCUUCCAGGGGUAUUCUACACGGAACUACGGUAGGCUACACCCCUGAGCAGAACGGAGCUGCAGAACGUUUAAAUCGCACUCUUUUGGACAAGACUAGGGCUAUGCUAGUUGAGUCUGGACUGCCUAAAUCAUUAUGGGCGGAGGCGUUAGCGACAGCCAACUAUCUUAGGAAUGUGUCGCCAACUGCUGGGUCAACCGUCACUCCGUACGAAGCUUUCUUUAAUGUUCGUCCGAACGUCAGUCACCUGCGAGUUUUUGGAUGCGUUGCCUACGUCCACGUACCUGACGUCAAGCGCGACAAGUUCGACCCGGUGAGCAGGCGUGGAAUACUUGUCGGAUAUGGGAACGGUGGACAGUAUCGUGUACAAUACGAGGACGGCAUUAUUGCCAUAGUUUCUAACGUUCGCUUUGACGAGUCGAAUGUCGGCCGGCGGCGUAAUGCCGGGGACUCCGAUUAUGAGUCCGAUGCCGACGAGGAGGAGGAGUUUCGCACUAGUUUAUCUGGUGAGGGAUCGCUGCCUAGGGCUGGCGAAGGGACACCAGGUAGCACCGUCGGCGAGGGAUCGCCGCACUUGGGUGGCGAGGGGGCGCCGGCUGGGGCUGGACCUUCCAGCAGUGCGAACGGGCAAGGAAUUAAUUAGCCUGAUGUGGAAAUGGCAGGGACACGAUAUCCAGUUAGAGAGCGGAAACGCCCUGGCGAAUGGUGGCGAAACGAACCUGGUCGCACUGUUACUGGUCGCGUUAACGCUGCUUUCUCUGCUGGUAUUCCUGAGCCUAAUUCGUUUGCAGAAGCCAUUGCAAGUCCAAAUGCAGACGACUGGCGGCGUGCGAUGGACGAGGAGAUCGCCGCCCAGAUGGCUAAUAGUACUUGGGAGCUGAAGAAGCCACCUCCUGGUACUCGUUUGUUGCCGUGUCGUUGGGUAUGUAAGGUUAAGUACAGCGAUGACGGCAGCGUGGAGCGUUUUAAGGCGCGUUUAGUUGCCAAGGGUUUCGAGCAACGUGAGGGGAUUGAUUAUGGGGAGUUGUUUGCCCCUACCUCUCGUGGUUCGUCAUUGCGUGCUUUAUUAGCAGUUGCCGCAGCCCGGAACAUGACGGNNNNNNNNNNNNNNNNNNNNNNNNNNNNNNNNNNNNNNNNNNNNNNNNNNCAGCCAUCCUAGCCUCUUAGUCCAUGAGUUGGGGAGGAACAAAUCUCUCCCCAAAAAUCCGCAACCAUCUGUGGCAACUUCAUCGUGUCUGUAAUAAGACGACCCGUUCUAUCUUGCAACGCCGGAAUAACUUGCAGAGUCUUAGACGGAUGCACCAGGGCAGUUAGCCCUCUACUAGGCCGUUCACCCUCACGAAUCCACUGUAACCGAACCCGUUCCGCCUCCUGUGCACCUUCAGCUCUAGCCGCUUGUACAACCGCUACUUGGGCGUCAAUUGCCGCUUGGAUUCUCUGUGCACUCAUAUGUUCGGUCUGCACAUCUUCCAGUGCCCUUGUUGCAUGUUCUAUUGCCAAACGUAGUUGCCCCCCCGGGGGAAAACGACGUUCUCGCGCUUGCCGAUUAAGAACAUUUACUUCAUUGAACAUUCGAUGUUUAAACAACGGCCACCAUUGUAGCAUAGCUACUGUGUCUGUCUCAGCGGGUCUCUGCGCACACUCAUCACCAAUCCAUUGCAAGAAGUUUCCCUUCAAGUCAGGAAAAUCUAAGAAAUGCGUGUGUAGCCUUGGAAGGCCUGGACCACGCUUUCUCACAAGACGAGGUAAAAGAGCAAUAAUAGCUAAACGAUGGUCUGUCGAAGUGCACACUGGAAUGGUAGAGGAAGCGAUGAAGGGGGUGAGGUUUGUGGAAGUAUAGAUUCGAUCAAGACGUGACCCUCCCGACACACUUGUUUUAUAGAANAACGAAAGGUCGCGACGGGUAGGGUGGAGGUAGCG